This is an RNA transcript of Quercus lobata, 3508 nucleotides long. It is a transcript of the gene named Tetratricopeptide repeat (TPR)-like superfamily protein, with no coding region annotated. The transcript has 3 exons. The record is from RefSeq and is a predicted model, not a curated record. NCBI's taxonomy places the organism in Eukaryota, Viridiplantae, Streptophyta, Magnoliopsida, Fagales, Fagaceae.
UGAAGAGAAACUUUGUUCCGUCGCAUGGCAGCACGCUUGUUGAUAUUUUCUAUAAAAUUGCAAUUGGUAUUUUCUAUAAAAUUGCAAUUGGUAUGACGAUGAAAUUAGGAUAUUGUCUAAAAAAUAAUUGAAAGUGAAAGUUAUGCGCGGGAAUUAUAGUUUCAGACAGUUAAGCAGCACCUGCUAUCGCUCGCUUCAAAACGAACCCAUCAACAACAAGCUCCAAAAUGCAACAAAAACCUCAACCCCAUCGAAGAAAACAUUAACCCAAAAACGCAGCGAACCUAAGAACAAGAAGUCAGCCAUUUCAGACUCGGAAAUUGUGAAAUGGAACAUGUCCAUUACCACCCACAUGCGCAAUGGCCAAUGGGAGUCAGCCCUCCAAGUCUUCAAUUCAAUGCCACGACGGAGUUCGGUCUCUUACAACGCCAUGAUAUCUGGGUACCUGUCGAAUGACAAGUUUGGGCUUGCACGAGACAUGUUUGAGAAAAUGCCUGACAGAGACUUGGUUUCUUGGAAUGUGAUGCUUAGUGGGUAUGUGAGGAAUCGGAAUCUUGGUGCUGCUCGUGUUUUGUUUGAUCAGAUGCCCGAAAGGGAUGUUGUGUCAUGGAAUGCUAUGUUAUCUGGGUACGCACAGAAUGGAUAUGUUGAUGAGGCAAGGAAGAUUUUUUAUAGGAUGCCGGAUAAGAAUGAGAUAUCAUGGAAUGGAUUACUUUCAACAUAUGUGCAGAAUGGGAGGAUAGAAGAGGCUUGUAGGUUGUUUGAGUCGAAAGAGGAUUGGGAAGUGGUGUCUUGGAAUUGUUUGAUGGGUGGGUAUGUAAAGAGGAAGAGGUUGGUUGAUGCUAGACGACUUUUUGAUCAGAUGCCUAUGAGAGAUGAGAUUUCUUGGAAUACUAUUGUUACAGGUUAUGCGCAGAAUGGGGAGUUGUCAGAAGCUAGGAGAUUGUUUGAGGAGUCUCCUAGUCGGGAUGUGUUUACGUGGACGGCGCUGGUAUCUGGCUAUGUGCAGAAUGGGAUGCUGGAUGAAGCAAGAAGAGUUUUCGAUGGGAUGCCAGUGAAAAAUGAGGUUUCAUGGAAUGCAAUGAUUGCAGGAUAUGUGCAGUGCAAGAGAAUGGACACGGCAAGGAACUUGUUCGAGGCAAUGCCUUGUCGAAACAUCAGCUCUUGGAAUACUAUGAUUACUGGCUAUGCUCAGAGUGGUGAUAUUUCUCAAGCUAGGAAUUUGUUUGAUAGGAUGUCUCAGCGUGACAGCAUUUCUUGGGCGGCAAUUAUUGCUGGUUAUGCUCAAAGUGGUCAUGGUGAAGAGGCUUUGCAUCUAUUUGUGAAGAUGAAAAGGAAUGGUGAAAGAUUAAAUAGGUCUGCAUUUACUUGUUCUUUGAGUGCAUGUGCCGAUAUUGCUGCUCUUGAGUUGGGGAAGCAAUUGCAUGGGCGGCUAGUUAAGGCAGGAUUGGAGACUGGGUGUUAUGUGGGGAAUGCACUUCUUGCAAUGUAUUGUAAAUGUGGAAGCAUAGAUGAAGCAUAUGAUAUUUUUGAAGAGAUUUCAGAAAAGGAUGUUGUCUCAUGGAACACAAUGAUAGCAGGAUACGCAAGACAUGGAUUUGGCAAAGAGGCUAUGACGGUUUUUGAGUCAAUGAAGACAGCGGGUAUCAAACCAGAUGAUGUCACUAUGGUUGGUGUGUUAUCUGCUUGUAGUCACACUGGGUUGCUAGAUAAGGGCACUGAAUAUUUUUAUUCAAUGAAUUGCGAUUAUGGUAUAACAGCAAACUCAAAACACUAUACAUGCAUGAUUGAUCUUCUUGGCCGAGCAGGGCGUCUGGAUGAGGCCCAGAAUUUAAUGAGAAAUAUGCCUUUCGAACCAGAUGCUGCUACAUGGGGUGCUCUACUUGGUGCAAGCAGGAUUCAUGGCAAUACUGAAUUAGGUGAAAAGGCUGCUAAGAUUAUUUUUGAGAUGGAACCUGAUAACUCAGGAAUGUAUGUUCUUCUCUCAAAUUUAUAUGCAGCUUCAGGUAGAUGGGGCGAUGUGAGCAGAAUGAGAUUGAAAAUGAGGGAUAAUGGUGUGAAGAAAGUACCUGGGUAUAGUUGGCUUGAAGUGGAGAAUAUGGUUCAUACAUUUUCAGUUGGGGACUCCUUCCACCCAGAGAAGGGCCGAAUAUAUGCCUUUUUAGAAGAAUUGGAUUUGAAAAUGAAGCUGGACGGGUAUGUUUCUUCUACAAAAUUGGUUUUACAUGAUGUGGAAGAGGAGGAGAAGGAGCAUAUGCUGAAGUAUCACAGUGAGAAAUUAGCUGUGGCAUUUGGAAUUCUUUCUAUACCAGCUGGGAGACCAAUCCGUGUGAUGAAAAAUUUGCGGGUGUGUGAAGACUGCCACAAUGCUAUCAAACACAUAUCCAAGAUUGAGGGAAGGUUGAUAAUCUUAAGGGAUUCCCACCGUUUUCACCACUUCAGUGGUGGUUCAUGUUCAUGUGGGGACUACUGGUGAGGUGGAAAUGCUACAUUGCUGUUUCAAGUCUAUUCUCUGGACUUAGUGUUAAAUCCUUUCAGAUAAACAGAUUAUAAUAUCCUAGUUGUUUGAAAAUUUUAUCAACUCUUCUGAGAGAAGAUUGGAAUCAGAUGUUCGUUCUUUGUCCUUUUUUAGUGGAUAAAAUUGCAUGUGCAAGAAAAUCUACUUCCUAAAUUUCUCAGGAUAGGUGGAAUAACGUUGGAUAUAUGCAGAAAUUCUGGACUAAUUACUGAUUAUAUGGAAAUAAGAUUUAUCUCUGGUUGGUAAUGGGAGCUGUGUCUCAUAUUAUUUUUAUUAGAUUUCAAAUUGCAAACAAAAGAGAAGGUUCAAGGUGGAGUACAUGGUGAAAUAAAUAAAAGCUAGAAACAGUCAGCUGAUCCUCGGAGAAAACAGCUGGACAAGUGUUCUUCACGGAGGCGAUAUCACUGAGGUAUUUAGAAGCAAUGUCUCUUCUCAGAUUCAACCUCCAGUUUUGCUUUCAGUUAUUGAGGAAGGAAGGCCAAUCUGCCAAAACUUCACGCCAUUCCUAUUGAAAAUGUCCAUUUUGGCAAUGUGAUAAUAACUUCACCUGAUGAGCCUGGAGAAUAUGGAAGAAAAGGGUCUUCAUAGUGCCAUUUGAGAUGCUAAUGUCUACAUGGGCUGUAUAUAAAAGUUUGUCGAUUCUAGCUUACGCAAUCUAUGUCCUUUGUUUAUCUUUGUGCCUUUUUUUUUUCUUUUUUUUUUGUCUUUUUGGGAUUCAGUACUGUCGCUCUGUUCAUUUCAUGUUUUCCUCUUCCUAUUGAGUUCCGGAUAGUUUGGAUUGACCGAUUGGACUUGACAUCAACUUAGAAACUAUUAUGCCUUUGCAAGGGAAUCAACAAUUCAAUAUGAGUUUUUUUUUUCAGGUUCAAGAAUGAUUUGUAUUCUCAACUGACAAGUCAAGAUGCAUCAAUGAAAUAUCCCUCUUUGCAUGUUCUUGAUCAAGGCAAUGUAAAUGUGUUGAAUUUCCUUUCUUAACAGUUUAUGGUAAUU